Molecule: ribosomal RNA, 492 nt
Filed under: uncultured bacterium
Lineage: Bacteria
Description: partial 16S ribosomal RNA
Rfam family: Bacterial small subunit ribosomal RNA
Source: RNAcentral
AGUGAGCGCUGGCGGUAGGCCUAACACAUGCAAGUCGAACGGCAGCACAGUAAGAGCUUGCUCUUACGGGUGGCGAGUGGCGGACGGGUGAGGAAUACAUCGGAAUCUACUUUUUCGUGGGGGAUAACGUAGGGAAACCUACGCUAAUACCGCAUACGACCUACGGGUGAAAGCAGGGGAUCUUCGGACCUUGCGCGAUUGAAUGAGCCGAUGUCGGAUUAGCUAGUUGGCGGGGUAAAGGCCCACCAAGGCGACGAUCCGUAGCUGGUCUGAGAGGAUGAUCAGCCACACUGGAACUGAGACACGGUCCAGACUCCUACGGGAGGCAGCAGUGGGGAAUAUUGGACAAUGGGCGCAAGCCUGAUCCAGCCAUACCGCGUGGGUGAAGAAGGCCUUCGGGUUGUAAAGCCCUUUUGUUGGGAAAGAAAAGCAGCAGGUUAAUACCCCGCUGUUCUGACGGUACCCAAAGAAUAAGCACCGGCUAACUUCGUG